GCUACGAAUGCCCUGGCCCAAAGUUUACAAUCAACCCAUGACUCUGACCUGAUCCGGGAGCUGUAUGAGGAGGAGCAGGAGUCCAAGGCUGAGCUGCAGCAGAGCAUGUCCAAGGCCAACAGUGAGGAAGUAGUUAGCCCUACGUCUUCAGGAAGCAGAGGAAGCUGUUGAGGCAACCAACUCCAAGUGCUCCUCAUUGGAGAAGACCAAGGGGAGGUGGAGUAUCUGAUGGAUAUUGAAAGCCAACUCUGCUGCUGUCUCUUUGGACAAGAAGCAAAGAAAUGUUGAUAAGAGUGGAAGUCAGAGUCAGGCAGAGCUGGAGGCAUUGUUGAAAGAGGUUCGCUUCAUGGGCACUAAACUUCAAAUGAAGAAUCUCUACACAAUUUCGAAACGCGAAAACAAAAACCUGCAACAGGAAAUGAUGGAUCUUACUGGACAGCUAGGGGAAACAGGAAAAACCAUGAGCUUGAAAAGUCAAAGAAAGUCUGAACAGGAGAAGACAGAGGUUCAGACUGCCCUGGAGGAGGCAGAGGUAAUAGUAAAGAUGGGUACCUCAUAUUUAUCCUAAUUCCCAACUACAAUACCUUCCUGUCUAUUCUGACUGUACAUUAUCCCAUUCAGGCAUCUCUGGAGCAUAAGGAAUGUGAGCUCCGUGUACAACUGGAGGGCAGGGUAUGUAGCAAAGGUAAUUAUAAUACUGUAUUGCAUACUGAUUUAGAAACUUCUCUAUCUAGGUCCGUGAUCUGGAAAAUGAGCUUGAGACUGAGCAAAAGCAGGGGGUUGAUGCUAUCAAUGGAGUUCUUAAAUAUGAGAGGAGGGAGAAAGAGCUCACCAAUCAGGUAAGAAAUAAGAACGUAUUAAUGUACCGUAUAAUCAAGAGGUAAAGUCAUAUUGUCACCAACAUUUUAACAGAUGUAUUUAUUUUCCAUUCAUGGGCAUAGCCCUAGUUUCAAAUUAAAUUGCAAUCCACUUAUCACAUUGUCCUGAACCGUUUGUGAAAAAUAAACUUGCACCUGUGAUUUCAUACAGACUGAGGAAGGCAAGAAGAAUGUUACUAGACUUCAGGAUUUGGUGGAUAAAUUACAGAUCAAAGUGAAGGCCUACAAAAGACAGGCUGAGGAAGCUGUAAGCAAACCAUAUACCAAGGACCAUUCUCCACAAAAUGUUGAGUAUUAAAGUGAAGGUUGGGCUCUGGCUGCAAUAAUUAAUGUAGGCUAACCUACACUGCAUCUCAUUACAUUUCAGGAGGAGCAAGCUCAUGUUCAUAUGGCCAAAUUCAGAAAGGUGCAGCCUUAAAAAAGAAAAUGUAUAUUGAUUAUUGUAAACCUUAAACUCUUUUGAUUUGGCUUAAUUGUGUUCAUUUUUUAAACAUUGUGCUUGUUGAGUUUGUUUUUAAUAUAAAUGUUUUACCUCAGCUUCAUCUAGUGCAGAUUGCAUCUCACUUUUCUGUUUCCACUUGUCUUCUGACUUUCUCUAGUUCAUGGACACUCUCUCCACUCUCACCAAUUUGCUCCUCUGUAUUUUGAAAGCCAUACAGUACAUGUCAAAAGGCAAUCGGGUAAUUUCAUAUUGUAAAACCUUAAGGUUUUUAUGUGUUGUGACUAUUACGUCAUGGAUUGUCACGUUUCAUGAAUUGGGUUUACGUUUUAGGUUUUUAUUCUCCCUUUUGAGAGUUUCCAGAUGAUCCAGAGCUUCUUCAAAUGAGCUUUUCAUUUUGAAAAGAUCUGUGGUUUGUGAUCGAGAUUCUUUCUGAGCACUUUCCCGCUCCGACUGACUCGUACUUCUUCUUCCAGUCAACUAGAAUCUAAAAUCAUGUAAUGAGUAUUGUCAUUAAUACAUAAAAAGAUAAAAUCAAACUUUUAUAUUACCUUGUCAAAGUUUCUUAUCAAGAUUAGCAGCCACACUAGUUGAUCUCCCCACAUCAACCAUGAGAUCCUCCAUUUCACUCUGCAGUCUCUGCUUAGUCUUUUCCAGUGGAAAGUGAGACCGUUUUUCAUGAUCAUGCAUAGGGUAACCUAUGGCAAACAAGUAGAACAUCUAUAAAAAGUUGGCAAUUACUUGGCAUCUUCAAGUUCCUCAGUGUGCUGGAUGGCAUCAGUCUCAUACUUGGUUCUCCACAGAGCUACCUCACUGUUGGCCUUGGACAUGCUACGCUGCAGCUCAGCCUUGGACUCCUGUUCUUCCUCAAAUUGUUCUCGGAGGAGGUCACAGUCGUGAUGUGCUGAAUGUAAACUAUGGGCCAGGGCAUUCUUAGCCUUGAUGAAAACAACAUACACUGAGUGUACAAAACAUUUAUUUCCAUGAGACUGACCAGGUGAAUCCAGGUGAAAACUAUGAUCCUUUAUUGAUGUCACUUGUUAAAUCCACUUCAAUCAGUGUAGAGACAGGUUAAAGAAGGAUUUAAGCCUUGAGACACUUGAGACAUGGAUUGUGUAUGUGUGCCAUUCAGAGGGUGAAUGGGCAAGACAAAAUAUUUAACUGCCUUUGAACAGGGUAUGGUAGUAGGUAUCAGGCUGUCCUGAGGG
Oncorhynchus mykiss (rainbow trout) is the source of this 2525-nucleotide long non-coding RNA. The record is from Ensembl. NCBI's taxonomy places the organism in Eukaryota, Metazoa, Chordata, Actinopteri, Salmoniformes, Salmonidae.